GAAAUCUGAUCGGGAGAACCGGCUAUGCCGGUGCCGAAGGAGCAACCGCCCCGGAAACUCUCAGGCAAAAGGGACCGAUUGGAUUGA
Molecule: non-coding RNA, 87 nt
Filed under: Roseovarius litorisediminis
Lineage: Bacteria; Pseudomonadati; Pseudomonadota; Alphaproteobacteria; Rhodobacterales; Roseobacteraceae
Description: Pelagicola litorisediminis Glycine sequence
Rfam family: Glycine riboswitch aptamer
About the family: This family represents the bacterial glycine riboswitch. Glycine riboswitches usually consist of two metabolite-binding aptamers domains with similar structures in tandem.
Source: Rfam by way of RNAcentral